UACAGAGGUCUCAAGCGUUGUUCGGAUUCAUUGGGCGUAAAGGGCGCGUAGGUGGCGCCGUAAGUCAGGUGUGAAAUUUCGGAGCUUAACUCCGAAACUGCAUUUGAUACUGCGGUGCUUGAGGACUGGAGAGGAGACUGGAAUUUACGGUGUAGCAGUGAAAUGCGUAGAGAUCGUAAGGAAGACCAGUGGCGAAGGCGGGUCUCUGGAUAGUUCCUGACACUGAGGCACGAAGGCCAGGGGAGCAAACGGG
This 253-nucleotide ribosomal RNA is filed under the name uncultured bacterium. RNAcentral's name for it is "partial 16S ribosomal RNA". It matches the Rfam family "Bacterial small subunit ribosomal RNA", at positions 524 to 776 of the family's 1533-position model. The record is from RNAcentral.